Molecule: small RNA, 148 nt
Filed under: Pongo abelii (Sumatran orangutan)
Lineage: Eukaryota; Metazoa; Chordata; Mammalia; Primates; Hominidae
Description: Metazoan signal recognition particle RNA (ENSPPYG00000039460.1)
Source: Rfam by way of RNAcentral
GCCGGGCAUGGUGGCGCGUGCCUGUAAUCCCAGCUACUCGGGAGGCUGAGACAGGAGAAUCGCUUGAACCCGGGAGGCCGAGGUUGCAGUGAGCCAAGAUCGCGCCACUGCACUCCAGCCUGGGCGACUGAGCAAGAUUCCGUCUCGG